Molecule: long non-coding RNA, 2032 nt
Organism: Carassius auratus (goldfish)
Lineage: Eukaryota; Metazoa; Chordata; Actinopteri; Cypriniformes; Cyprinidae
Exons: 3
Source: RefSeq, a predicted model, not a curated record
GCAGGAAGGAGGAAAGUGGAAAGAUCCAGUGUUAAUGAAAGGGAUUAGUGGGUGUGCCGGGACCAGCGAAAAAAAGGAGUCUGGUGCCUUGUCGUGGCUGUGACAUUUCCUCUGCCAUCUGCUGCAUCGGUGCCCCCAACGUCCAGGAACUAAUCCCCGGUCCUAUGUGGUUUUGACCCUAAUUCACUGUGAGCUUUUGGAGUGCAGUGGGCUGGGAGAGUAAACCCUGUGGGGAAGAACGUGCACCGGUGUUGUGAGACAACCGUCUUUUAUAUACAUGCCCGCUCGUGGCUUUGGACCCCUACUCCACCGAGUGGUGACGUGUCAACAAUAGCAAGUAAGGAACAGUGUGCAUAUUGUGGGGGACGAUGACUGCGACGUGUUGGCUGCUAUAUGAACAUCCAGCACUGUAGCCCUUGUGUAUGAAUACCUGUUUGUGGAGUGCUUUCCGAGGUUCGCCCCUGUCUAGAUCUCUGGUCCGUUGUCUGGAAGAGAGGAGAGGGAAGCGUUCGAGUCAUUCCUGAGGUACAUACCCGGUGGCACAAACCUACCUGAAGUCACCCAGCGUGGUGGCACCAGCUGAGGCCGUGGAAGGCCCAACGUGCAGCAACUUCAAUCUGUACUUCUAUCCACUCUUGGUCAAAUUCAAGAGGUGGUGAGUCUUUCUCCAUAUAUUCACUGAAGCUAAGUAAAUUUGUGAAGGAACUCUGUCUGUCUGUUACCAGUCCUACAGGUCUGAGCUUGAGGCUCUGAGCCAUCAUGGGAGUGUUUCCACGGUUGGAGGUGACCGGUUUGAGUGUUGGUCUGGGAAGUCUGCCCCAGUGAAGAAGACCACAGUUGUCGUGACAUAUACACAUUCUCUAGACUCCCGAGCUGAAAAGGGCUUAAGCCUGACGUCCACCUCUUCGAGGGUCUGUGAGUUGUAUCCAUUCAGUAUUGUCAUCGAAUACCCACCUGUAUGCCCAAAGUCAAACUCCAGUUGCCCUUUGUAUACUCUACUGUACGCCCACAUUUAAGAGCCAGCAUAUUGUCCUUGUAUACUUGCGUGUACGUCCAAAGUAAAGACCCAGUUGUCCUUCUGCAUACAUACUUGUACGCCCGAGUGAAAUACCAGUGCAUCGCCCUUGCAUACUCGCCUACAAACUCCAUCCGUAGGGUUUACCUGGACGAAAAUCCCCGUGACAGAGUAAGAAGCGACUCGGACCUAUACUCUCUGGCCUCGAGAGUGGAUAUUAGAUUCCCUUUUCCCUUCCCUUCACACCUUUUAGAUAAUUUAAAUAAAGUUUGUUUUACUCAUACUCCCUUUCUCUCGUGUGUCUGGUCAUUGGGAUGUUCUUGGGACCUCCUCGAGGUGGAAACUAGGGAGGGGAGAGACUCACGACAUCUGUGGUCCGCUCCGACCUGUGACAUAUGUUUGGUGAAGAUCCCCAUUUCCUUGAUUGCAGUAAUUAACUAGUCACUCUGGAAUGCAUGUGCACACUAACAAAUGUAAUUGACUUCAUUGAUUUAUUGUUAUGUUUUUGCAGCCUCUCUUGUUGACUUCUCUGAGGAUGCACAAAAAGGACUGCAGUGUCUGGUUCAUCAGAGGCUCAGCAAACUGAAAGCAAAAAUGCUUUUAGUCAACAUCCAUUACAAAUCUAUCCUGAAUGAUAACUCUCACCUGGAGAUGGAGUUGGAAGAAGACAUAUAACUUGAUGCUAUAGCCUCUGAUUUCAGCUGUUCUGAUGAGGACUCUGACUGAAUGUCAUCUGCCAUCAAACAUGCUUCAAUUACUGUGUGCUAAAUUCAGAAAAAACAGGUGUUAAUUAUAGGGCCUAAAAACUCUGCUUGUAAUAACCUGGAACACUGUCUAAGACUUGAUGGUUGCUGUCAAUUCUUCGUUAUCAUUUAGGAACCUAGGUCUGCUACUUGAUGGCAAUCUUUCCUUAGAAAGCCACGUUUCUAGCCUUUGUAAAUCUGCAUUUUUCCAUCUCAAAAAUAUAUCUUAGUUACGGCCUAUGCUCUCAAUGUCAAAUGCAGAAAUGUUAAUCCA